This is a long non-coding RNA of Toxotes jaculatrix (banded archerfish), 302 nucleotides long. RefSeq lists it as uncharacterized. The transcript has 3 exons. NCBI's taxonomy places the organism in Eukaryota, Metazoa, Chordata, Actinopteri, Toxotidae. The record is from RefSeq and is a predicted model, not a curated record.
ACUGACACAGAAUGAGAGUCCGGCUUCAAAUACAUUUACACACCACUUAAUUUCUCCUUUUCAUAAUUACUAUAAGACGAGGAAUAUCUCCACUGCAUUUCUCUUUUGGACGCCUUUUUUUCUCGGAAAGUGUAACAUGUGACCCUCUGCAGGCCUGCAGGCAAGCUCUAGAGACAGAAUUUCUCCACAUCAGAGGUGUCCACUUCUCAGUGUCUGGCUCUGAAAGCAAAUUGAAAGAUAAUGUAAAAAUAUUGUUUUACUUUUCCAGUAUUUAACAACACAUUGGAUGUUGUUGUUUUUUG